AUUGAACGCUGGCGGCAGGCCUAACACAUGCAAGUCGAGCGGCAGCGGGUCCUUCGGGAUGCCGGCGAGCGGCGGACGGGUGAGUAAUGCCUAGGAAUCUGCCUGGUAGUGGGGGAUAACUCGGGGAAACUCGAGCUAAUACCGCAUACGUCCUACGGGAGAAAGCGGGGGAUCUUCGGACCUCGCGCUACCAGAUGAGCCUAGGUCGGAUUAGCUAGUUGGUGAGGUAAAGGCUCACCAAGGCUACGAUCCGUAGCUGGUCUGAGAGGAUGAUCAGCCACACUGGAACUGAGACACGGUCCAGACUCCUACGGGAGGCAGCAGUGGGGAAUAUUGGACAAUGGGCGAAAGCCUGAUCCAGCCAUGCCGCGUGUGUGAAGAAGGUCUUCGGAUUGUAAAGCACUUUAAGUUGGGAGGAAGGGCAGUAAGUUAAUACCUUGCUGUUUUGACGUUACCGACAGAAUAAGCACCGGCUAACUUCGUGCCAGCAGCCGCGGUAAUACGAAGGGUGCAAGCGUUAAUCGGAAUUACUGGGCGUAAAGCGCGCGUAGGUGGUUUGAUAAGUUGGAUGUGAAAGCCCCGGGCUCAACCUGGGAAUUGCAUCCAAAACUGUCUGACUAGAGUAUGGCAGAGGGUGGUGGAAUUUCCUGUGUAGCGGUGAAAUGCGUAGAUAUAGGAAGGAACACCAGUGGCGAAGGCGACCACCUGGGCUAAUACUGACACUGAGGUGCGAAAGCGUGGGGAGCAAACA
This 751-nucleotide ribosomal RNA is filed under the name uncultured Gammaproteobacteria bacterium. Its description in RNAcentral is "bacterial SSU rRNA". It matches the Rfam family "Bacterial small subunit ribosomal RNA", at positions 28 to 774 of the family's 1533-position model. Lineage: Bacteria; Pseudomonadati; Pseudomonadota; Gammaproteobacteria. The record is from RNAcentral.